AGGCUACCGCUAUUGGAGUUCGAUUAAGCCAUGCGAGUCGCGAGUCCUAGGGACUCGGCGUACCGCUCAGUAACACGUGGGUAACCUGCCCUAUGCAGGGGGAUAACCUCGGGAAACUGAGAAUAAUACCCCAUAGUUCACUACGCCUGGAACGGUGAGUGGAUGAAAGCUCCGGCGGCAUAGGAUGGGCCUGCGGCGUAUCAGGUUGUAGGGGGUGUAAUGUACCCUCUAGCCAUCUACGCGUACGGGUGUUGGGAGACAUCGCCCGGAGAUGGAUUCUGAGACACGAAUCCAGACCCUACGGGGUGCAGCAGGCGCGAAAACUUGGCAAUGCGAGAAAUCGUGACCAGGGAACUCCAAGUGCAUCGGGUAAGACCGAUGCUUUUCUUGACUCUUCAAAGGUCUUGGAAUAAGGGGUGGGUAAGGACGGUGCCAGCCGCCGCGGUAAUACCGGCGCCUCAAGUGGUAGUCGCUUUUAUUGGGCCUAAAACGUCCGUAGCCGGUUUGGUACAUUCGUGGGUAAAUCAAGGCGCUCAACGUCUUGAAUUCUGCGAGCACGGCCAGACUUGGGACCGGGUGAGGUGUGGGGUACUCUCAGGGUAGGGGUAAAAUCCUGUCAUCCUGAGAGGACCACCUGUUGCGAAGGCGCCACACUAGAACGGAUCCGACGGUCAGGGACGAAGCCUAGGGGCACGAACCGGAUUAGAUACCCGGGUAGUCCUAGGUGUAAACGCUGUGGACUUGAUGUUGGGAGUGCUCCGAGCACCCUCAGUGUCGAAGCGAAGGUGAUAAGUCCACUGCCUGGGGAGUACGGUCGCAAGGCUGAAACUUAAAGGAAUUGGCGGGGGAGCACUGCAACCUGAGGAUUGUGCGGUUU
RNAcentral lists this ribosomal RNA (877 nucleotides) under uncultured euryarchaeote. RNAcentral describes it as "bacterial SSU rRNA". It matches the Rfam family "Archaeal small subunit ribosomal RNA", at positions 21 to 903 of the family's 1478-position model. The record is from RNAcentral. Lineage: Archaea; Methanobacteriati; Methanobacteriota.